RNAcentral lists this long non-coding RNA (1183 nucleotides) under Equus caballus (horse). Its description in RNAcentral is "lncRNA (ENSECAG00000052757.1)". Lineage: Eukaryota; Metazoa; Chordata; Mammalia; Perissodactyla; Equidae. The record is from RNAcentral.
AAUGGAUACCUCCAGAAGGUCGAUAGAUAGCCAUGAGAUUUUUGAAGAAGGAGAAAGAACCUGGAAGCAGCAAUGAGAAGCAUUUACCUGACCUCCUGGCCCUGACUUAUAAUGGAGCCUGCACUUGAGAAGAGCAGAAGUUUCAGUGAAUGCAAAAGAAACAUCUGAGAAGAGGUUAAGAAUGCAGUGGGGAGGAAUUCCAAGAUGGCGCCGUGAGUAGUCCUCUUUGUCUCUCGCCCUUCGAGUCUACAAUUAUUUGGACACUUAUCGCUUGACAAAGGAUAUCCAUACAGCAUCUCAGGACGUCUGAGACACCCACGCGACUAUACAUCGGAAGGCGGACGGACUUUCCUCCGGGAGGAUGUGGAAAUAGGUGAAAACUCUCCGACCCCGACGGGCAGCCUAGUACCCGCAAGCGGCUUUCUUCCAACGGACGCCCCCAGAGGAUCCACACACAUCUAGGGCAGGAGCGAGAACACAACAGAGGAGCGACGGUGGAAACAGGUGACCAGAACCCUACUUAAACCCCCCGCAAUUACUCCUAAACGCAGAGGGAAACUUUGGAGUUGCACACCUGAGCCCGCGGGGAGAGUCUCUCCCCGCCAUUGGCGGGGAGACCCGGCCUGGUGCUCGGGGCGCCCGGAGGGUCCCAGAGAGAGACACGGAGGGCACGGAGGUCUCCCAGCUGCCGUUGCCCGCCCCGUGGGACUAGGGAUUGCCGGAGAUCUCGGAGAGGACCGGGGCGGGGGAACUUUCAAAGGCCGGACCGGCGACCCGGAGGGGAAGCGCCGGAGCUCCGCCAGGCAGCAGACAAAACUCUCUGUCUGCCGGUAGCAGAGGGGCCACGCUGAGCACUCAGGGCUCCCGGCAGAGGCCCGGACAGAAGCCCAGAGGGCGGGGCGACCCCCAGCUGCCGUUGCCCACCCCGUGGGACUAGGGAUUGCCGGAGAUCUCGGAGAGGACCGGGGCGGGGGAACUUUCAAAGGCGGGUCCGGCGACCCGGAGGGGAAGCGCCGGAGCUCCGCCAGGCAGCAGACAAAACUCUCUGUCUGCCGGUAGCAGAGGGGCCACGCUGAGCAUUCAGAGCUCCCGGCAGAGGCCCGGAGAGAAGCCCAGAGAGCGGGGCGACCCCCAGCUGCCGUUGCCCACCCGGUGAGGCUAGGGAUUGCCGGAGAUCUCGGAG